GGAAAACUCACCAGGUCCAGACAUAGUAAGGAUUGACAGAUUGAUAGCUCUUUCUUGAUUCUAUGGGUGGUGGUGCAUGGCCGUUUUUAGUUGGUGGAGUGAUUUGUCUGCUUAAUUGCGUUAACGAACGAGACCUUAACCUGCUAAAUAGGGGCGCGUAUCUUCGGAUAAACGCAUCUCUUCUUAGAGGGACUUUAUGUGUUUCAGCAUAAGGAAGUUUGAGGCAACAA
Molecule: ribosomal RNA, 230 nt
Filed under: uncultured eukaryote
Lineage: Eukaryota
Description: partial 18S ribosomal RNA
Rfam family: Eukaryotic small subunit ribosomal RNA
Source: RNAcentral